This 546-nucleotide ribosomal RNA is filed under the name Epicoccum nigrum. RNAcentral's name for it is "eukaryotic LSU rRNA". The stretch from base 191 to 344 matches the Rfam family "5.8S ribosomal RNA". The record is from RNAcentral. Lineage: Eukaryota; Fungi; Ascomycota; Dothideomycetes; Pleosporales; Didymellaceae.
AAAGUCGUAACAAGGUUUCCGUAGGUGAACCUGCGGAAGGAUCAUUACCUAGAGUUUGUAGACUUCGGUCUGCUACCUCUUACCCAUGUCUUUUGAGUACCUUCGUUUCCUCGGCGGGUCCGCCCGCCGAUUGGACAACAUUCAAACCCUUUGCAGUUGCAAUCAGCGUCUGAAAAAACAUAAUAGUUACAACUUUCAACAACGGAUCUCUUGGUUCUGGCAUCGAUGAAGAACGCAGCGAAAUGCGAUAAGUAGUGUGAAUUGCAGAAUUCAGUGAAUCAUCGAAUCUUUGAACGCACAUUGCGCCCCUUGGUAUUCCAUGGGGCAUGCCUGUUCGAGCGUCAUUUGUACCUUCAAGCUCUGCUUGGUGUUGGGUGUUUGUCUCGCCUCCGCGUGUAGACUCGCCUUAAAACAAUUGGCAGCCGGCGUAUUGAUUUCGGAGCGCAGUACAUCUCGCGCUUUGCACUCAUAACGACGACGUCCAAAAGUACAUUUUUACACUCUUGACCUCGGAUCAGGUAGGGAUACCCGCUGAACUUAAGCAUA